Molecule: unclassified non-coding RNA, 3867 nt
Filed under: Hevea brasiliensis (rubber tree)
Lineage: Eukaryota; Viridiplantae; Streptophyta; Magnoliopsida; Malpighiales; Euphorbiaceae
Source: RNAcentral
AUUAUGGAACUCUCAUUUUGAUAAAAUUUAAAAUUACUUGAGACAAAUAAAGCAUGUUAUGCAUUCAAAAGUUUUUGUUUUUAAAAUUCUAUUGUAACUUUUUCAAUAAUGAGUUUUAUCAAGACAAAAUAAUAUGAUUAUGCAUGUGAUUAGUUGAUGAAUGACUUUUAAUUAAAUUUUUUCGGUAAUAUUUUAUUAUUAGAUUUCAUAUAUUGACCCCCGAAAAGAAAAUUUCUAGACCCGCCACUGACUACUCUAACAGAUAAAAUAAUAAUGGAGGCUAAUGAUAAGUUAGAACUAUAGUUGAAGAACAAUUUGAAGCUCAAAGAUUUUAUGCUGAGUAGGACUAUAAUGAAUUCAAUGAUGUAACUAAUAUUAGCCAAUGGCUGAGAAAUAUUGGUAUCUCAGAAAAUUUAUCCCCAAAGAAGAUGAUAUUGAAGAAAAUAUUAUCAUAGAACUAUAGAAGCACAUCAGAUAAAAUGAAAUAGAAGAAUUUAAAGAAUGAUAACUGAUGGAGUGAAAUAAAAGAAUUUUUCUGGUAUGUUGCAUGAUUGCAGAAAAAGUAUUAGGCUAAAGGGGAAAUUCCAUGGGACAAAAAUAUGGCCAUGACUGCUUUGAGACAACAAAUGCUGAGAUGAAUAUGCAAUAACAUAAAAUGGCAGAAUGCAAAAGCAACACAUUUGAGAAAGGUGGAAGAAGCACCAAUUGAAAAAAGGAAAAAUGGUGAAUAAUGAAAGAUGGUUUGAGCUGUUAAGCCACAUGCAAGAUGUACCUUUAUGUUAUAAGGGAAAGUAUUUGAAUUUAGGUUGAAAAGAUCAAAGUGGUAAGACAUAGAAAUGGACCUUUAUGUUUGAGCAGAAGCAACUACAUUUAAACUGAAAAGACCAAAAAUGGUAAGAAAUUGACUCUUGAAGUUAUGUAAGUUUUGAUAUCCAAACAUCUUAUGAAAAAUAUGGUGCUAGGAUUAAAAUUUAGUUGAAUUGAGCAGCAUUCAUAGCAGACUUUGAAGUAAUUGUGAAACAACAAAGUUUUACUAGUUCAUAUUAAACUACUAAACCAAUGGACUAAUGCAGAAUUUAAUUUUUUUUUUUUUUAAAGUUGAGUAUCAAUUGGAACAUUCGCAUAAUGCUGCUGCAACAAACUUCUCCUAUAAUCAAAAUUGUUGGUUCCGAUUGCAGCUUCUUCAACAAUUCUCCACAAUCAACACCAAAAUAUCUCAGUUUUCUCAUGGACAAAGAGAAGCCUCUACCUGUUCUUUCUUCUUCUUUGUUGCUGAAGCAUCCAGUCUUCCAUUGCCAAGCUUCGCAUGAAUCCCAUAAGACUUCUCUCAGGAAUGAAGAAAUACCUGUCCAUGGAUUAUCUAAAACGAUUGUAGGUGUUUUAGGGGGCGGGCAAUUGGGUCGAAUGCUGUGUCAAGCAGCUUCCCAGAUGGCCAUUAAAAUAAUGGUUUUGGAUCCCCUUGUGAAUUGCCCUGCUAGUUCCCUCGCUUAUCAUCACAUGGUUGGGAGCUUUGAUGAUAGUGCUACGGUUCAGGAAUUUGCCAAAAGAUGUGGAGUAUUAACCGUUGAGAUUGAACAUGUUGAUGCUGCUACGCUAGAGAAGCUUGAGCAGCAAGGAGUUGAUUGCCAACCGAAAGCCUCUACUAUUCGAAUUAUCCAAGAUAAAUAUCUCCAAAAGGUUCAUUUUUCUCGGCAUGGAAUUCCACUACCUGAGUUUAUGCAGGUGGGAAAUGAUAAAGUUGUUCAUGAGUAUAUCUCUGAAGGACAUUACGUGAUUGCAUUUUUGUGGUCUAUUAGUUGAAAAUAUUUUUAUUCACUGGUAAUGAAAAUGACAGAUAGAUGAUCUAGAAGGUGCCAAAAGGGCAGGUGAAUUGUUUGGCUAUCCUCUUAUGAUUAAAAGUAAGAGGUUAGCUUAUGAUGGGCGUGGAAAUGAAGUUGCUAAGAGUGAAGAAGACAUUUCUUCUGCUGUAACUGCUCUUGGAGGUUUUGAUCGUGGUCUAUAUGUUGAGAAAUGGGCACCCUUUGUAAAGGAACUAGCUGUCAUUGUGGCAAGAGGAAGAGACAACACCAUCUUGUGUUAUCCUGUUGUUGAAACUAUUCACAAGGAAAACAUAUGUCACAUAGUCAAGGCACCUGCCGAUGUGCCAUGGAAGAUCAGGAAACUUGCCGCUGAUGUUUCUUAUAAAGCUGUUAGUUCACUAGAAGGUGCUGGUGUGUUUGCAGUUGAGUUGUUUUUGACAAGUGACGGUCAGAUUCUACUGAAUGAAGUAGCUCCUAGACCUCAUAAUAGUGGUCAUCACACAAUUGAGUCCUGCUACACCUCACAAUUUGAACAGCAUCUGCGAGCUGUUGUGGGUCUUCCACUAGGUGAUCCAUCAAUGAAGACUCCAGCAGCUAUAAUGUACAAUUUAUUGGGUGAAGAUGAGGGAGAGCCUGGUUUCCACUUGGCUCAUCAGCUUAUUGGAAGGGCAUUAAAUGUACAAGGGGCUACUGUUCAUUGGUAUGAUAAGCCAGAAAUGCGAAGGCAAAGAAAGAUGGGGCAUAUCACUAUUGUUGGUCCUUCUAUGGGCAUUGUGGAAGCACGGCUAAAUUCAAUGUUCAAAGAAGGAGGUUCUGAUAGUCAAUCUGCAGUUACACCACGGGUUGGGAUCCUUAUGGGCUCUGAUUCAGAUCUUCCUGUAAUGAAGGAUGCUGCAAGGAUUUUGAAUAUGUUUGGUGUGCCUUAUGAGGUUUAGCUAUUUAAUACUACCUCCAUUCAUUUUGAUCCAUGGCAUUUGGGUUUUGCACGGUGAUUAAGGAAAUAAUUGGAUAACUUUAUUUUUCUAGAAACAUUCUAGUAAUUGACUACAUUACCCUUUAUUUCACCUAGAAAAUAGUAUAAAUAUUUAUUGUAUUUAAUAGAGAUAAAGGGUAAAAUUGAAAAAAAGAAGUUAACACUCGUUGAUUUUCUAAAUGCGAUAUAUAAUUUUGGACAAAAGAAAAACCCAAAUGCGACAAAUAAAACUGGACGGAGGGAGUAGUUCUCAAUUUUUCUCUGGAAUUCACUGGCACUGGACUUUUUUUUUUUUUUUUAAACUUCAUCAUUAGUAAUUACACUUGACCUUCAUAGGUAAGAAUUGUGUCAGCUCAUCGAACUCCUGAGAUGAUGUUCUCCUAUGCCUCGUCUGCUCGAGAUCAAGGGGUUCAGAUCAUCAUUGCUGGGGCUGGUGGUGCAGCCCACUUGCCAGGGAUGGUGGCUUCACUUACUCCUUUACCUGUUAUUGGUGUCCCUGUACGUGGUUCCUCAUUGGAUGGAAUGGAUUCACUCUUGUCCAUUGUGCAGAUGCCAAGGGGUGUUCCAGUCGCAACUGUAGCAAUAAACAAUGCUACAAAUGCUGGUUUGUUGGCUGUAAGGAUGUUGGGAGUUGGUGAUUCCGACCUAUUAGCAAGAAUGAGCCAGUAUCAAGAAGACACCAGGGAUGAAGUAUUAAAAAAGGCUGAGAAGCUACAACGUGAUGGAUGGGAAUCUUAUUUGAAUCCUUGAGUACAAUUUCACCACUUUCUGUAUUCCUUGAUUUUUUGAACUUAAUAACAUGCAUAGAAGAAUCUGAUAUCAAAAGAGGACUAAGAGUCUACAUGUUGGGUACAACAACCUGUCCUAACCAAGUGUGAUCGGUACGGGAGCAGAUUGUAUUGGGGUGCAAUUAGAAAGUCCGUAGCAGAUUGGAAAGGACAGAAAGGGGACGUGGAUCAAGUUUGGAAUUGAUCAAGUUUUGUAGCCUUAUGAGAUCAUUAAAUUUUUCCUUGAUUGAUCAAUCAAUUAAAGUUAAUUCUUUGUAUUUUCUUCAUCUCCAAAAUGCAAAUGAAGAUGACCGAAUCUUUGAUGGUA